AUAAGCGGAGGAAAAGAAACCAACAGGGAUUGCCUUAGUAGCGGCGAGUGAAGCGGCAAAAGCUCAAAUUUGAAAUCUGGCGCCUUCGGUGUCCGAGUUGUAAUUUGAAGAUUGUAACCUUGGGGUUGGCUCUUGUCUAUGUUUCUUGGAACAGGACGUCACAGAGGGUGAGAAUCCCGUGCGAUGAGAUGCCCAAUUCUAUGUAAGGUGCUUUCGAAGAGUCGAGUUGUUUGGGAAUGCAGCUCUAAGUGGGUGGUAAAUUCCAUCUAAAGCUAAAUAUUGGCGAGAGACCGAUAGCGAACAAGUACAGUGAUGGAAAGAUGAAAAGAACUUUGAAAAGAGAGUGAAAAAGUACGUGAAAUUGUUGAAAGGGAAGGGUUUGAGAUCAGACUCGAUAUUUUGUGAGCCUUGCCUUCGUGGCGGGGUGACCCGCAGCUUAUCGGGCCAGCAUCGGUUUGGGCGGUAGGAUAAUGGCGUAGGAAUGUGACUUUACUUCGGUGAAGUGUUAUAGCCUGCGUUGAUGCUGCCUGCCUAGACCGAGGACUGCGAUUUUAUCAGGAUGCUGGCAUAAUGAUC
RNAcentral lists this ribosomal RNA (576 nucleotides) under Meyerozyma guilliermondii. Its description in RNAcentral is "eukaryotic LSU rRNA". It matches the Rfam family "Eukaryotic large subunit ribosomal RNA", at positions 46 to 639 of the family's 3401-position model. The record is from RNAcentral. Lineage: Eukaryota; Fungi; Ascomycota; Pichiomycetes; Serinales; Debaryomycetaceae.